This 403-nucleotide ribosomal RNA is filed under the name uncultured beta proteobacterium. RNAcentral describes it as "bacterial SSU rRNA". It matches the Rfam family "Bacterial small subunit ribosomal RNA", at positions 958 to 1363 of the family's 1533-position model. The record is from RNAcentral. Lineage: Bacteria; Pseudomonadati; Pseudomonadota; Betaproteobacteria.
AACGCGAAAAACCUUACCUACCCUUGACAUGCCACUAACGAAGCAGAGAUGCAUUAGGUGCUCGAAAGAGAAAGUGGACACAGGUGCUGCAUGGCUGUCGUCAGCUCGUGUCGUGAGAUGUUGGGUUAAGUCCCGCAACGAGCGCAACCCUUGUCUCUAGUUGCUACGAAAGGGCACUCUAGAGAGACUGCCGGUGACAAACCGGAGGAAGGUGGGGAUGACGUCAAGUCCUCAUGGCCCUUAUGGGUAGGGCUUCACACGUCAUACAAUGGUGCAUACAGAGGGUUGCCAAGCCGCGAGGUGGAGCUAAUCCCAGAAAAUGCAUCGUAGUCCGGAUCGUAGUCUGCAACUCGACUACGUGAAGCUGGAAUCGCUAGUAAUCGCGGAUCAGCAUGCCGACAGU